UCCUACCCUCUUGGCCCAGUCCUGGCCAUGGAGCCAUAAUGGAAAAAACUGCUUGGCUGGAUUCUGAGAAGUUUCUGCCUUUCCUUCUCCAGGUGCCUGAAUAGGGCUCUGGGAAUUGCUGUAGCCAUCAUACUGCAAGCCUAAAGGACAAGGCCCUCACCAAGGAGGGCAGGGAGUGGAUGGGUAAGGAUCUGGGAUGGCUGACUUUGUUGAGUUGCUCCUUCAGCCAAGCUGGAGCAAGCCUAGCCUCUGCAGUCCUGUCAGGUGUGAUGACCACGCAGCUGAGUUCUGGUCAACGGGGUGCAAGCAGAAGGAAUGGGCUCCACUUACAGACCUGACCACAACCACCUCCCUGAGAGACUCUUUGCUUUUCCCGUAAGUGAAGAGGACUCCGAGGACCCAGGGAAAGGGGGAACUGCAAGGUAGAAAAAGUCAGGUUCCCUGAAGGACAAAAGAACAGUCUCCCUGC
Molecule: long non-coding RNA, 469 nt
Organism: Odocoileus virginianus texanus
Lineage: Eukaryota; Metazoa; Chordata; Mammalia; Artiodactyla; Cervidae
Source: RefSeq, a predicted model, not a curated record